Molecule: ribosomal RNA, 497 nt
Filed under: uncultured bacterium
Lineage: Bacteria
Description: partial 16S ribosomal RNA
Rfam family: Bacterial small subunit ribosomal RNA
Source: RNAcentral
GAUGAACGCUGGCGGCGUGCCUAAUACAUGCAAGUCGAGCGAACAGACGAGGAGCUUGCUCCUCUGACGUUAGCGGCGGACGGGUGAGUAACACGUGGAUAACCUACCUAUAAGACUGGGAUAACUUCGGGAAACCGGAGCUAAUACCGGAUAAUAUAUUGAACCGCAUGGUUCAAUAGUGAAAGACGGUUUUGCUGUCACUUAUAGAUGGAUCCGCGCCGCAUUAGCUAGUUGGUAAGGUAACGGCUUACCAAGGCAACGAUGCGUAGCCGACCUGAGAGGGUGAUCCGCCACACUGGAACUGAGACACGGUCCAGACUCCUACGGGAGGCAGCAGUAGGGAAUCUUCCGCAAUGGGCGAAAGCCUGACGGAGCAACGCCGCGUGAGUGAUGAAGGUCUUCGGAUCGGAAAACUCUGUUAUUAGGGAAGAACAAAUGUGUAAGUAACUAUGCACGUCUUGACGGUACCUAAUCAGAAAGCCACGGCUAACUACGUG